Molecule: long non-coding RNA, 834 nt
Filed under: Pongo abelii (Sumatran orangutan)
Lineage: Eukaryota; Metazoa; Chordata; Mammalia; Primates; Hominidae
Description: lincRNA
Source: RNAcentral
CACCUAACUAGUCAAAGAACAGAGUUACAAGAGACAUGCUGAUUCAACAAAUGGAGAUGAGUAAACUGAAUCAUAGAGAGCUUAGGUGACUUGAAAGAGACUUGACUGCUGAGCAGGGAGACCAUCUGUAGCCACCUCCCUGUCACAAGGAAGCCUGCACAUAGAGACCUCCCAUAGAGACGAAAUAUGUCUACAAAAGGGUCACUGCCCUUGCAAGGAAAAUGUGAUCCCAGCACGGCCUGGCGUGUUCCUGGCGGCAGAAAGGACUCCUGCCAGGACAGGAGGAGAAGUUGCGGCUGGGACGAGGAGAGGGUGGGAAGCCCUACAGAUGCCCCAAGCCCACUGAUGCCACAGGAGGGGAAGGGAGGAGGCUGCUGUGCUUUCUGUGUACCUUGUUCUCUGCCCAGAAGGGUCAGCACAGCCAGGCAGCCCCGAAAUGCAGUGGAGGCUAAAGAAAGGAGGGCCCUCUGUCCUAGAGAAGGCUCAGUAGGCUCCCGAGGAAAGGGAAGGAGCAACCUUUUCCAUUUGACUUCAGGUAGGAGGGAGAAAGUGUACAGAAUCAAAAUGUGUGGCACCUGCGAUUCAGUUGGCUCAUUUCUGAAAAAAUCAGGGUAGAUUAGGCGCCCAAUGCACCAUAAGCGUUAUGUGUGUUUGUAAACACACACGGGGCUGUACACAGGGGUAGGGGUCUUAGAGAGGAAAGUAAAAAGGGAAAAGAAGGAAAGUAGCAGAGACUAGUUUACACAUAAAAGUACAUAAAUAAGUUUACUUAUGAAGACCAUGGUUUCCCACAAACAGUCCCGUCUUGGUAGCAGAAUGGGACAAACUGUCACA